RNAcentral lists this ribosomal RNA (1372 nucleotides) under uncultured bacterium. Its description in RNAcentral is "bacterial SSU rRNA". It matches the Rfam family "Bacterial small subunit ribosomal RNA", at positions 28 to 1381 of the family's 1533-position model. The record is from RNAcentral.
GAUGAACGCUGGCGGCGUGCCUAAUACAUGCAAGUCGAGCGAACGGACGAGAAGCUUGCUUCUCUGAUGUUAGCGGCGGACGGGUGAGUAACACGUGGAUAACCUACCUAUAAGACUGGGAUAACUUCGGGAAACCGGAGCUAAUACCGGAUAAUAUUUUGAACCGCAUGGUUCAAAAGUGAAAGACGGUCUUGCUGUCACUUAUAGAUGGAUCCGCGCUGCAUUAGCUAGUUGGUAAGGUAACGGCUUACCAAGGCAACGAUGCAUAGCCGACCUGAGAGGGUGAUCGGCCACACUGGAACUGAGACACGGUCCAGACUCCUACGGGAGGCAGCAGUAGGGAAUCUUCCGCAAUGGGCGAAAGCCUGACGGAGCAACGCCGCGUGAGUGAUGAAGGUCUUCGGAUCGUAAAACUCUGUUAUUAGGGAAGAACAUAUGUGUAAGUAACUGUGCACAUCUUGACGGUACCUAAUCAGAAAGCCACGGCUAACUACGUGCCAGCAGCCGCGGUAAUACGUAGGUGGCAAGCGUUAUCCGGAAUUAUUGGGCGUAAAGCGCGCGUAGGCGGUUUUUUAAGUCUGAUGUGAAAGCCCACGGCUCAACCGUGGAGGGUCAUUGGAAACUGGAAAACUUGAGUGCAGAAGAGGAAAGUGGAAUUCCAUGUGUAGCGGUGAAAUGCGCAGAGAUAUGGAGGAACACCAGUGGCGAAGGCGACUUUCUGGUCUGUAACUGACGCUGAUGUGCGAAAGCGUGGGGAUCAAACAGGAUUAGAUACCCUGGUAGUCCACGCCGUAAACGAUGAGUGCUAAGUGUUAGGGGGUUUCCGCCCCUUAGUGCUGCAGCUAACGCAUUAAGCACUCCGCCGGGGGAGUACGACCGCAAGGUUGAAACUCAAAGGAAUUGACGGGGACCCGCACAAGCGGUGGAGCAUGUGGUUUAAUUCGAAGCAACGCGAAGAACCUUACCAAAUCUUGACAUCCUUCGACAACUCUAGAGAUAGAGCCUUCCCCUUCGGGGGACAAAGUGACAGGUGGUGCAUGGUUGUCGUCAGCUCGUGUCGUGAGAUGUUGGGUUAAGUCCCGCAACGAGCGCAACCCUUAAGCUUAGUUGCCAUCAUUAAGUUGGGCACUCUAAGUUGACUGCCGGUGACAAACCGGAGGAAGGUGGGGAUGACGUCAAAUCAUCAUGCCCCUUAUGAUUUGGGCUACACACGUGCUACAAUGGACAAUACAAAGGGCAGCGAAACCGCGAGGUCAAGCAAAUCCCAUAAAGUUGUUCUCAGUUCGGAUUGUAGUCUGCAACUCGACUACAUGAAGCUGGAAUCGCUAGUAAUCGUAGAUCAGCAUGCUACGGUGAAUACGUUCCCGGGUCU